GCACUGCUGAGGAGUCCCACAAUAGGACGAAACGGCCUUCUAGUGC
Schistosoma haematobium is the source of this 46-nucleotide non-coding RNA. Lineage: Eukaryota; Metazoa; Platyhelminthes; Trematoda; Strigeidida; Schistosomatidae. The record is from Rfam.